AUUCUUUUAAUAUAUUCAGUAUAAUUGAUUUCCAAUCAAAAAGUCUUAAUUUAAGAAAGAAUA
This 63-nucleotide transfer RNA is filed under the name Cantacader sp. RNAcentral describes it as "tRNA-Gly". The record is from RNAcentral. Lineage: Eukaryota; Metazoa; Arthropoda; Insecta; Hemiptera; Tingidae.